RNAcentral lists this ribosomal RNA (290 nucleotides) under uncultured bacterium. RNAcentral describes it as "partial 16S ribosomal RNA". It matches the Rfam family "Bacterial small subunit ribosomal RNA", at positions 333 to 615 of the family's 1533-position model. The record is from RNAcentral.
CUACACCUACGGGGGGCAGCAGUAGGGAAUCUUCCACAAUGGGCGAAAGCCUGAUGGAGCAACGCCGCGUGGGUGAAGAAGGUCUUCGGAUCGUAAAACCCUGUUGUUAGAGAAGAAAGUGCGUGAGAGUAACUGUUCACGUUUCGACGGUAUCUAACCAGAAAGCCACGGCUAACUACGUGCCAGCAGCCGCGGUAAUACGUAGGUGGCAAGCGUUAUCCGGAUUUAUUGGGAGUAAAGAGAACGCAGGCGGUCUUUUAAGGCUGAUGUGAAAGCCUUCGGCUUAAGCG